RNAcentral lists this ribosomal RNA (250 nucleotides) under uncultured bacterium. RNAcentral describes it as "partial 16S ribosomal RNA". It matches the Rfam family "Bacterial small subunit ribosomal RNA", at positions 524 to 773 of the family's 1533-position model. The record is from RNAcentral.
UACGUAGGUGGCAAGCGUUGUCCGGAUUUAUUGGGUUUAAAGGGUGCGUAGGCGGCCUAUUAAGUCAGUGCUGAAAUAUCCCGGCUUAACCGGGAGGGUGGCAUUGAUACUGAUGGGCUUGAGUAGAGUCGAGGUGGGCGGAAUUGACGGUGUAGCGGUGAAAUGCUUAGAUAUCGUCAAGAACACCGAUAGUGUAGACAGUUCACUAGGCUCAAACUGACGCUGAGGCACGAAAGUGUGGGGAUCAAAC